RNAcentral lists this ribosomal RNA (397 nucleotides) under uncultured bacterium. RNAcentral's name for it is "partial 16S ribosomal RNA". It matches the Rfam family "Bacterial small subunit ribosomal RNA", at positions 523 to 918 of the family's 1533-position model. The record is from RNAcentral.
AUACGUAGGGGGCGAGCGUUGUCCGGAAUGAUUGGGCGUAAAGGGCGCGUAGGCGGCGCGGUAAGUCUGGAGUGAAAGUCCUGUUUUUAAGAUGGGAAUUGCUUUGGAUACUGUCGGGCUUGAGUGCAGGAGAGGUAAGUGGAAUUCCCAGUGUAGCGGUGAAAUGCGUAGAGAUUGGGAGGAACACCAGUGGCGAAGGCGACUUACUGGACUGUAACUGACGCUGAGGCGCGAAAGUGUGGGGAGUAAACAGGAUUAGAUACCCUGGUAGUCCACACUGUAAACGAUGAAUGCUAGGUGUAGGGGGUAUCGACCCCUUCUGUGCCGCAGUCAACACAAUAAGCAUUCCGCCUGGGGAGUACGGCCGCAAGGUUGAAACUCAAAGGAAUUGGCGGGG